RNAcentral lists this ribosomal RNA (484 nucleotides) under uncultured bacterium. RNAcentral's name for it is "partial 16S ribosomal RNA". It matches the Rfam family "Bacterial small subunit ribosomal RNA", at positions 30 to 507 of the family's 1533-position model. The record is from RNAcentral.
AUUGAACGCUGGCGGCAGGCCUAACACAUGCCAGUCGAGCGGAUGAAGGGAGCUUGCUCCUGGAUUCAGCGGCGGACGGGUGAGUAAUGCCUAGGAAUCUGCCUGGUAGUGGGGGAUAACGUCCGGAAACGGGCGCUAAUACCGCAUACGUCCUGAGGGAGAAAGUGGGGGAUCUUCGGACCUCACGCUAUCAGAUGAGCCUAGGUCGGAUUAGCUAGUUGGUGGGGUAAAGGCCUACCAAGGCGACGAUCCGUAACUGGUCUGAGAGGAUGAUCAGUCACACUGGAACUGAGACACGGUCCAGACUCCUACGGGAGGCAGCAGUGGGGAAUAUUGGACAAUGGGCGAAAGCCUGAUCCAGCCAUGCCGCGUGUGUGAAGAAGGUCUUCGGAUUGUAAAGCACUUUAAGUUGGGAGGAAGGGCAGUAAGUUAAUACCUUGCUGUUUUGACGUUACCAACAGAAUAAGCACCUGCUAACUUCGUG